CCUACGGGAGGCAGCAGUGGGGAAUAUUGGGCAAUGGGCGCAAGCCUGACCCAGCAACGCCGCGUGAAGGAAGAAGGCUUUCGGGUUGUAAACUUCUUUUAAGGGGGAAGAGCAGAAGACGGUACCCCUUGAAUAAGCCACGGCUAACUACGUGCCAGCAGCCGCGGUAAUACGUAGGUAGCAAGCGUUGUCCGGAUUUACUGGGUGUAAAGGGCGUGCAGCCGGAGCGACAAGUCAGAUGUGAAAUCCACGGGCUCAACCCGUGAACUGCAUUUGAAACUGGUUCCCUUGAGUGUCGGAGGGGUAAUCGGAAUUCCUUGUGUAGCGGUGAAAUGCGUAGAUAUAAGGAAGAACACCAGUGGCGAAGGCGGAUUACUGGACGAUAACUGACGGUGAGGCGCGAAAGCGUGGGGAGCAAACAGGAUUAGAUACCCCUGUAGUC
This 442-nucleotide ribosomal RNA is filed under the name uncultured bacterium. RNAcentral describes it as "partial 16S ribosomal RNA". It matches the Rfam family "Bacterial small subunit ribosomal RNA", at positions 338 to 795 of the family's 1533-position model. The record is from RNAcentral.